Molecule: ribosomal RNA, 450 nt
Filed under: uncultured bacterium
Lineage: Bacteria
Description: partial 16S ribosomal RNA
Rfam family: Bacterial small subunit ribosomal RNA
Source: RNAcentral
CCUACGGGUGGCUGCAGUAAGGAAUAUUGGUCAAUGGACGAAAGUCUGAACCAGCCAUCCCGCGUGCAGGAUGAAAGCCCUAUGGGUUGUAAACUGCUUUUAGCAGAGAAGAAAAGUUUUCAUUAAUGAGAGUCUGACGGUAUCUGCAGAAUAAGCACCGGCUAACUCCGUGCCAGCAGCCGCGGUAAUACGGAGGGUGCGAGCGUUAUCCGGAUUUACUGGGUUGUAGGGGUGGGUUGAAGGAGGAUGAGAAAUCUUGUCGCUUAACGAUAAAAUUGCCAAGGAUACUGGUACUCUUGAAUUGGGUUGAGGUUAGCGGAAUGUGACAUGUAGCGGUGAAAUGCAUAGAUAUGUCAUGGAACACCAAUUGCGAAGGCAGCUAACUGGGCCUUGAUUGACGCUGAGGCACGAAAGCGUGGGUAGCGAACAGGAUUAGAUACCCUUGUAGUC